This 494-nucleotide ribosomal RNA is filed under the name uncultured bacterium. Its description in RNAcentral is "partial 16S ribosomal RNA". It matches the Rfam family "Bacterial small subunit ribosomal RNA", at positions 28 to 507 of the family's 1533-position model. The record is from RNAcentral.
GACGAACGCUGGCGGCGUGCUUAACACAUGCGAGUCGAACGGAAAGGCCUGCUUUCCCUUGUGGAUUGCGGGUACUCGAGUGGCGAACGGGUGAGUAACACGUGAGUGAUCUGCCCCCAACUUGGGUAUAAGCCUGGGAAACUGGGUCUAAUUCCCGAUAGGACUGCAGGGUGGUGCCUGUGGUGGAAAACGAUUUUCUAGUGGUUGGGGAUGAGCUCGCGGCCUAUCAGCUUGUUGGUGGGGUAAUGGCCUACCAAGGCGGCGACGGGUAGCCGGCCUGAGAGGGUGGACGGCCACAUUGGGACUGGGAUACGGCCCAGACUCCUACGGGAGGCAGCAGUGGGGAAUAUUGCACAAUGGGCGGAAGCCUGAUGCAGCGACGCCGCGUGGGGGAUGACGGCCUCCGGGUUGUAAACUCCUUUCGACCGCGAGGAAGCCACCUGGUUGGAAGGGUGGUGACGGUAGUGGUAGAAGAAGCACCGGCUAACUACGUG